UGAUUGAAAUAAAAAAAUAUUAUCCAGUAAUUGAAAAUAUACAUGUUACAAAAUAAUGUCAGUAAUUAAGAGUCUUGGAGGCUUCAUUAAAUGUUUAUGACAGGAGAAAGGUGCAUGAAUCCCCAGCCUUCCUCAUAGUUAAGUAGAAGCAGCUCAUCCCACCCAGUAGGUGGCGACAGCGCUCACAGAGUCAAGCUUUCAAUCAGAAGAGGAGGAAGAUGAAGGAAGAAGAUCUUGGAGAAGGUUGGUGCAGAACGAAGUAGCAGCACGUUGGAUGUCUUCAGGAAAAUGCUUGCGACAGGAACAUUUAAAUUUCAUGUACCAGUAUUAAGAAGUGCAUAUUAAAUAAAUUUAGUAUGUAUAUGUAGCUAGCUAGGUCGCUCUUCUGUUUUUAGCAUGAUUCUGAAACGAGGUUUCGUCCAGUAACGUCAGCUGAAGUUGUGUCUCUGCACAUGGAGGUCCAUGUCCGGUAAUUAGAUCUGAAGAGAAGGGACUCCUCAGAUGGACCUCAGAUGCAUGGUCGACCUGCUGAGGUGAAAGCGAGUUCAGGUGAUUCUUGACACAACUACUUCUACAAAGUGCACCUGACUGGUUUGUUUUGGCUUCUAUUUAAGUUAUUCAUCAUCAAAUAAAUACAAAUUGUG
Molecule: long non-coding RNA, 644 nt
Organism: Epinephelus fuscoguttatus (brown-marbled grouper)
Lineage: Eukaryota; Metazoa; Chordata; Actinopteri; Perciformes; Serranidae
Exons: 3
Source: RefSeq, a predicted model, not a curated record